GACGUAGGGCGCGAGCGUUGUCCGGAUUUAUUGGGCGUAAAGAGCUCGUAGGCGGUCUGUCACGUCGGCUGUGAAAACCCGAGGCUCAACCUCGGGCCUGCAGUCGAUACGGGCAGACUAGAGUUCGGUAGGGGAGACUGGAAUUCCUGGUGUAGCGGUGAAAUGCGCAGAUAUCAGGAGGAACACCGGUGGCGAAGGCGGGUCUCUGGGCCGAAACUGACGCUGAGGAGCGAAAGCGUGGGGAGCGAACAGG
This 253-nucleotide ribosomal RNA is filed under the name uncultured bacterium. RNAcentral's name for it is "partial 16S ribosomal RNA". It matches the Rfam family "Bacterial small subunit ribosomal RNA", at positions 524 to 776 of the family's 1533-position model. The record is from RNAcentral.